Molecule: ribosomal RNA, 1280 nt
Filed under: Nocardiopsis sp. XMU22
Lineage: Bacteria; Bacillati; Actinomycetota; Actinomycetes; Streptosporangiales; Nocardiopsidaceae
Description: bacterial SSU rRNA
Rfam family: Bacterial small subunit ribosomal RNA
Source: RNAcentral
CCUGCCCCUGACUCCGGGAUAAGCGGUGGAAACGCCGUCUAAUACCGGAUAUGACACACCAUCUCCUGGUGGUGUGUGGAAAGUUUUGUCGGUCAGGGAUGGGCUCGCGGCCUAUCAGCUAGUUGGUGGGGUAAAGGCCUACCAAGGCGAUUACGGGUAGCCGGCCUGAGAGGGCGACCGGCCACACUGGGACUGAGACACGGCCCAGACUCCUGCGGGAGGCAGCAGUGGGGAAUAUUGCACAAUGGGCGAAAGCCUGAUGCAGCGACGCCGCGUGGGGGAUGACGGCCUUCGGGUUGUAAACCUCUUUUACCACCAACGCAGGCCCCGGGUUCUCUCGGGGUUGACGGUAGGUGGGGAAUAAGGACCGGCUAACUACGUGCCAGCAGCCGCGGUAAUACGUAGGGUCCGAGCGUUGUCCGGAAUUAUUGGGCGUAAAGAGCUCGUAGGCGGCGUGUCGCGUCUGCUGUGAAAGACCGGGGCUUAACCCCGGUUCUGCAGUGGAUACGGGCAUGCUAGAGGUAGGUAGGGGAGACUGGAAUUCCUGGUGUAGCGGUGAAAUGCGCAGAUAUCAGGAGGAACACCGGUGGCGAAGGCGGGUCUCUGGGCCUUACCUGACGCUGAGGAGCGAAAGCAUGGGGAGCGAACAGGAUUAGAUACCCUGGUAGUCCAUGCCGUAAACGUUGGGCGCUAGGUGUGGGGACUUUCCACGGUUUCCGCGCCGUAGCUAACGCAUUAAGCGCCCCGCCUGGGGAGUACGGCCGCAAGGCUAAAACUCAAAGGAAUUGACGGGGGCCCGCACAAGCGGCGGAGCAUGUUGCUUAAUUCGACGCAACGCGAAGAACCUUACCAAGGUUUGACAUCACCCGUGGACCUGUAGAGAUACAGGGUCAUUUAGUUGGUGGGUGACAGGUGGUGCAUGGCUGUCGUCAGCUCGUGUCGUGAGAUGUUGGGUUAAGUCCCGCAACGAGCGCAACCCUUGUUCCAUGUUGCCAGCACGUAAUGGUGGGGACUCAUGGGAGACUGCCGGGGUCAACUCGGAGGAAGGUGGGGACGACGUCAAGUCAUCAUGCCCCUUAUGUCUUGGGCUGCAAACAUGCUACAAUGGCCGGUACAAUGGGCGUGCGAUACCGUAAGGUGGAGCGAAUCCCUUAAAGCCGGUCUCAGUUCGGAUUGGGGUCUGCAACUCGACCCCAUGAAGGUGGAGUCGCUAGUAAUCGCGGAUCAGCAACGCCGCGGUGAAUACGUUCCCGGGCCUUGUACACACCGCCCGUCACGUC